GUACAAUGUAGCCGCACUACACCAUGGGCUAGUGAGAGCCGGGAGGAGCGACCAUGGCGGAGGAAGGACACAAAGAAAGCAGCUCAAGACCAAGAUGAAGAGAUAGAGGAUCUGAUAAAACCUGCUCCAAGGUACUGACCAGACUUUGGUUUUAUAGAACGCCUUGAUAUGAAGCUGAGAGAGCGAGCGCCUUUGCUGGUGCCAGCGUGGGAAAGGUCUGAGCAGCAAGAGACAAG
Molecule: long non-coding RNA, 236 nt
Organism: Microtus oregoni (creeping vole)
Lineage: Eukaryota; Metazoa; Chordata; Mammalia; Rodentia; Cricetidae
Exons: 3
Source: RefSeq, a predicted model, not a curated record